This 4715-nucleotide long non-coding RNA is filed under the name Brassica napus (rape). RNAcentral's name for it is "long non-coding RNA (BNAP_LNC026003)". Lineage: Eukaryota; Viridiplantae; Streptophyta; Magnoliopsida; Brassicales; Brassicaceae. The record is from RNAcentral.
UUUGAUCCGUGUAGGUGCGUCGGGUACGUAUUCUGCUGAGCGAGUAGGGUUACCUGUAAAAUUAGCGGAUGAAGCUGAAAAACCUGCAACGUAAAUAAAUCAUAUUUACCCUUUAAUUUACCUUGUGUAUUCAUUAUAAGCUAUUUCUGAGAAGAAUUAAGGUUGAAAAAUACCGUGGAGGGAUGGAUUUGGAUUUGCAGUCAAAGUAUCAAUCUCAUGACUUGUUUUUUUCUCCGGACCUGUAGAUCAGCUUACCAUGUCGUCACAGAUGUUGCAAUAUUGUGUUUUAUGGUUGAAGUCUGCUGGGGACCAAUGCUUGCCGCAUUCAGCGUUACACUUGAACAUAGUGAUGACAGGCUUGCUGCCUGCGAGGCUUUCGGUAUGCCGUUCAUGUUACAGCAGUUAUUUCCUCUUAAUACUCAAUACAAGUACUAAGUCCAAUCUCCUCAGAGAUUCCCAAUUACAACUCAACAAUUAGCCCAACUUUACAAAUGACUCAACUCCACACUUUAUACUACGAGACUACACUCCACUGAUCUGAUCGUAACGGCCAUAACAGAUUCUGUUAUAACUGCAUCUUCUUAUCUUGAUAAGCAGAUCACUCUUCUCACUGAUCUCAUUACUCCUUUUCCUCCUUUUAUUGUAAAUUCUCCAACUCCUAUCAGGGUAUGCAUACGCAAAGAGAUGCAUUUGUCAAUUCCAUGGCCAAGUUCACAAACCUCUAUUGCGCAGGAGAGAUAUGAAACAAAAGAAUGUUGAUGCUGUUAAAGUGAGUUUUUUCUUAUGGAAAUCGUUGUUCAUAAUCAAAGCAGUUGUUCUCUGUUUAAAGUUGCUAACAUCUUGCUUUCAAAGAAGACACACAAAGAUAAAACGUAUUUCUACGGCAUAUCCAAAAAUAAAAUUAAAAGAAAAAAAUAAUAAUAUGAGAGCAGAGGUCGAACUCGUUACCAAAAGUCUUGUUGUUAUAGAAGCCAAACCACUAAGCUAAUGUGACUUUACAAAGUCUCGGCGCCCCUUAUAUUAUAUAAAGCUGUGGCGCCUAAAGCAACUGCUUUAGGUGCUUUACCCCAGGGCCGGCACUGGUUACAGCUAAGAAGUCUAACUCAACAUUUAGUAUACUGAAGAAGUUGAAGGGUCAAGCAGAUGAUAUGGAGGUGCAAGUAAUUAGCAUCAGCAGUGCAGAGGUAUAUAUAACUAACUAAACCCUUUUUCUUUCUUUCUUGGCCAGUUAAGAAGACAAUACUGUGAUUUUCUCUGUUACUUUGAAAAAUUAGGCUUUGAAUCUGUUGAAAGCUUCACUGGUGACAUGCUCUGCUUUGAGCUCGGCUUUUAGGAGUUUGCUUGUGAAGGAAGAUAGAUCGAACCCUAUUUCAAAGAGACUAAAGAUAGAGACAUGAACAGUGGAGAGAGAGCUACUACUACUAUUAUUGAUUUUAAAUUAUGCAGAGAUUAAACUUCAUCUGCUUGCUACCACAUUGACUUGGUUUUUUCUAUUAUUAUUGCCUUUCCUUUUGAAAUUUUUGCAGCAAAAUUGCUAAUUUUCCACUUAUAGUAUAGUUUUCUACACAGCUUUAUCAGGAGAAUCAUGAAAUCUCUAUUUAGCACAUCUAAUUUCUUUUGAAAUAAACGAUGGCUAAAAGAAGUGAUAUUUUACGAGAUGUUGGCCAUGCAGUGAAGUGGAAGCUCAAAGGGUUGUCUUUAAGAGUGGCUCUUGGCCUCUUGGGGGUUUAAAUGACUUGUUAAUAUUUUUAUUCAGUGUUAAAACUUCUUCUUUACGAAGUGCAGUGUGAUUUAUUAGACAUGCCAGCCGUCGCACAACUGGAGAAGGAUCCUAACAGUGCACUAGUUUACCAGCUACUUAAGAUCUUUAUUACUCAGAGGCUGGACGCAUACAUGGAAUUCCAGAAUGCAAAUUCAGGAUUUCUGCAAACCUAUGGUAAGUUUCUUAUCAGUUUUAUUAUAUAUUCUUAGUGAGCUCUUGAGUUGCACAGCGUAAUAAUGCUUAGAUGGUGUUUGCAGGGCUUGUCGAGGAAGACUGUGUAGCGAAGAUGAGAUUGUUGUCACUGGUGGACUUGGCAUCAGAUGAAUCUGGCAAAAUACCAUAUGCCUCUAUCAAGAACAUUCUACAGGUAAAGCCUUUUUGCUUGAACAAGACAUAAAACGUUGAUAAACCUUUUUUCGUUGCUUCUCUGAACCAUAGAAUCUAUUUUGGUUGGGCACAGGUAAAUGACGAGGAGGUUGAGUUGUGGGUGGUUAAGGCAAUAUCUGCGAAACUGGUUGAUUGCAAGAUGGAUCAGAUGAACCAAUUUGUAAUCAUCAGGCAAGUUUUAUACGCUUAUCUUUCGGUUUAUAUAAAGUAGUCGAGAACAUUCUAAUAGUGCUUUCGCAUUUCAGUCGCUAUGUGGAGUGUGAAUUUGGACAAACGCAAUGGCAAUCUCUUAGAACAAAGCUUGCAGCUUGGCGGGUAAUUACAAGACUUAGCAAUUUUAGAACACAGCUACAUUGAGAAUGCUUGUGUAAUAAUAAUAGCAUACUGUCGUCAACCCUAGAUAUCGUCAACGAUGGCGAAUAUGCCGAUGGAUAUCGUCAACGAUGUAUUCCUCCGUCUCCCCGCUUCUACGCUGGUACGAUGUCGCGUCCUCUCGAAGCCUUGGUUCACUCUUAUAGACAAUUCUGACUUCCUAGCGUCGCAUCUCAAGCGCACGCUCGAAACCGAAGAGCACCUCAUGAUCCUGCUGCAAUCUCAUCGCCUUCUACGUACCGUGUACCUCGACGGACCGGAUAAACUCUCAGACGUCGACCAUCCUUUGCAAACCGGUAAUUUCACGAAGGUUUUCGGUUCGGUUAACGGUAUGAUCGGUUUAACGAACUCUCCCGUCGUCUUAGCGCUUUUUAAUCCGUCAACCCGGACAAUCCACCGGUUACCGAUUGAGCCUAUUGAUUUCUCGGAACGUUCCAUCACACUCGAGUAUGUGUUUUACGGAUUAGGUUAUGAUUCGAUGAGCGACGAUUACAAAGUUGUGAGGAUGGUUCAGUCUAAGCAUAAAGACUAUGAAGGUUAUCCUCUCCAAAUGAAAGGUUAUCCUGUCGAAACCAAAGUUUUCAGCUUAAAGAGUAAUUCGUGGAAGAGAAUCCAUCUUUGUUUUGAGGUUCAGAUUCCUUUCAUGUUCUUCUAUUACCAUGUGCUGUAUCGUCGUGGGAAUGGUGUUCUUGCUAGCAAUAGUCUUCACUGGGUCUUGCCUGGAAACCCUCUCGCCCUCACCAAGAUAAUCAGAUUUGAUCUUGCCACUGAUGAUCUUAGUGUCCUCAGUGGCCCACUGGAGCUUUGCCAUGAAGUUAUGAAUUUAGGUGUGUUAGACGGCUGCCUUUGUUUGAUUUGUCACGACUACCACAACAUCAGGAAUGGCCAUGUGGAUGUUUGGAUUUUGAGGGAAUACGGAGGAUCUUGGAGUAAAUUCAUUACUGUGCCGAAACCAGAGACUGUGGUGUCGUUUAAGUUUGUGAGACCUUUGAUAUAUUCCAAGGACAGGAGCAAGAUUCUCCUGGAGAUAAACAGUGGGAAGCUCAUGUGGUUUGAUUUGGUGGAUAAGAGUUUUGAAACGCUUGAAAUAAAGGGUUGUAAGGGUCCACGUAACGCGGAGAUCCUCGUGAGUAGCCUUGUUUUGGGAUGUAAAAGUGUUUCUGGCAGAGCUCCAGAGAAGAGAAUGUUGCAAAAGGGUAACAAAAGUUGGUUUGCUCAUCUUUGUAGCCUUGUUUUGGGGUGUAGAGGUGAUCCUCGAGAAAAGGAAAUAAUGGUGAAGGGUAGCAAAAGGUGGUAUGCUCAUCUUUUUAAAGUGCUUUCUUAUUCGAUUUUGCUUCCCCUGAUAAUGUACUUAGAUACGGACGGAUGAGACGAUAAGUCAAAACUGAGUAUUGGGUGUCUUCUUUCUUUGAGGUUUUAGGUUUGCAAAUGGUAAAAUGUAUCAACUUGCUUAAACAUCUUAUGUUACAAUCUCAGGGGAGGUGGUUUUCUGUCCAAGGGAUUCAAGCUCAAGUUCUGAGCAAAGCAUGGGAACUUUGAAGCCCAAACCUUCGUCAAGGUAACUGUAAUAAAUCUAAUGCUCAUGAAAUGUUUCCCUCAAGCUGGUAUUCUUCUUUCACUUUUCACUUUUCGAUGUGAGAUUCCAUUCUUAACCUGCUUACAAUUAUUGUAGCCUUUUUAUCCAUAGUGACGUUAAUCGUUGAAAUAAAUAUUAAUCGUAGUAACUGCACAUGUUUUAUUUCAGAAGCUUACAUUGACAUUUGAAAAUUAUAAAAGAAUUUGGGCCAAAUUACUGACACCGUAAAUUUUCAUCACGGCAAAGUCAUUGUCUUCUUGACUGGAGUGUUAGAAAGUGGAACUUGAGUCAACAAACAUCAUUGGAUAACGUUGACAGUUUAGAGAAAACGAGUUUGAUCCGUGUAGGUGCGUCGGGUACGUAUUCUGCUGAGCGAGUAGGGUUACCUGUAAAAUUAGCGGAUGAAGCUGAAAAACCUGCAACGUAAAUAAAUCAUAUUUACCCUUUAAUUUACCUUGUGUAUUCAUUAUAAGCUAUUUCUGAGAAGAAUUAAGGUUGAAAAAUACCGUGGAGGGAUGGAUUUGGAUUUGCAGUCAAAGUAUCAAUCUCAUGACUUGUUUUUUUCUCCGGACCUGUAGAUCAGCUUACCAUGUCGUCACAGAUGUUGCAAUAUUGUGU